AACCAGCACCUCAAGUGGUCAGGAGGAUUAUUGGGCCUAAAGCAUCCGUAGCCUGUUCUACAAGUUUGCGGUUAAAUCUAUGCGCUCAACGUAUAGGCUGCCGUAAAUACUGCAGAACUAGGGAGUGGGAGAGGUAGACGGUACUCGGUAGGAAGGGGUGAAAUCCUGUCAUCCUUAGAGGACCACCAGUUGCGAAGGCGCCACACUGGAACGGAUCCGACGGUCAGGGACGAAGCCUAGGGGCACGAACCGG
This 253-nucleotide ribosomal RNA is filed under the name uncultured archaeon. RNAcentral's name for it is "partial 16S ribosomal RNA". It matches the Rfam family "Archaeal small subunit ribosomal RNA", at positions 474 to 727 of the family's 1478-position model. The record is from RNAcentral.